Molecule: ribosomal RNA, 468 nt
Filed under: uncultured bacterium
Lineage: Bacteria
Description: partial 16S ribosomal RNA
Rfam family: Bacterial small subunit ribosomal RNA
Source: RNAcentral
GACGAACGCUGGCGGCGUGCUUAACACAUGCAAGUCGAACGGAAAGGCCCUGCUUUUGUGGGGUGCUCGAGUGGCGAACGGGUGAGUAACACGUGAGUAACCUGCCCUUGACUUUGGGAUAACUUCAGGAAACUGGGGCUAAUACCGGAUAGGAGCUCCUGCUGCAUGGUGGGGGUUGGAAAGUUUCGGCGGUUGGGGAUGGACUCGCGGCUUAUCAGCUUGUUGGUGGGGUAGUGGCUUACCAAGGCUUUGACGGGUAGCCGGCCUGAGAGGGUGACCGGCCACAUUGGGACUGAGGUACGGACCAGACUCCUACGGGAGGCAGCAGUGGGGAAUAUUGCACUAUGGGCGGAAGCCUGAUGCAGCAACGCCGCGUGCGGGAUGACGGCCUUCGGGUUGUAAACCGCUUUCGCCUGUGACGAAGCGUGAGUGACGGUAAUGGGUAAAGAAGCACCGGCUAACUACGUG